Molecule: ribosomal RNA, 465 nt
Filed under: Vreelandella stevensii
Lineage: Bacteria; Pseudomonadati; Pseudomonadota; Gammaproteobacteria; Oceanospirillales; Halomonadaceae
Description: partial 16S ribosomal RNA
Rfam family: Bacterial small subunit ribosomal RNA
Source: RNAcentral
CCUACGGGGGGCAGCAGUGGGGAAUAUUGGACAAUGGGCGAAAGCCUGAUCCAGCCAUGCCGCGUGUGUGAAGAAGGCCUUCGGGUUGUAAAGCACUUUCAGUGGGGAAGAAAGCCUUGGGGCUAAUACCCUCGAGGAAGGACAUCACCCACAGAAGAAGCACCGGCUAACUCCGUGCCAGCAGCCGCGGUAAUACGGAGGGUGCGAGCGUUAAUCGGAAUUACUGGGCGUAAAGCGCGCGUAGGCGGUCUGAUAAGCCGGUUGUGAAAGCCUCGGGCUCAACCUGGGAACGGCAUCCGGAACUGUCAGGCUAGAGUGCAGGAGAGGAAGGUAGAAUUCCCGGUGUAGCGGUGAAAUGCGUAGAGAUCGGGAGGAAUACCAGUGGCGAAGGCGGCCUUCUGGACUGACACUGACGCUGAGGUGCGAAAGCGUGGGUAGCAAACAGGAUUAGAUACCCCAGUAGUC